RNAcentral lists this ribosomal RNA (495 nucleotides) under uncultured bacterium. Its description in RNAcentral is "partial 16S ribosomal RNA". It matches the Rfam family "Bacterial small subunit ribosomal RNA", at positions 28 to 507 of the family's 1533-position model. The record is from RNAcentral.
GACGAACGCUGGCGGCGUGCCUAAUACAUGCAAGUAGAACGCUGAAGGAGGAGCUUGCUUCUCUGGAUGAGUUGCGAACGGGUGAGUAACGCGUAGGUAACCUGCCUGGUAGCGGGGGAUAACUAUUGGAAACGAUAGCUAAUACCGCAUAAUAGUAGAUGUUGCAUGACAUUUUCUUAAAAGGUGCAAUUGCAUCACUACCAGAUGGACCUGCGUUGUAUUAGCUAGUUGGUGAGGUAACGGCUCACCAAGGCAACGAUACAUAGCCGACCUGAGAGGGUGAUCGGACACACUGGGACUGAGACACGGCCCAGACUCCUACGGGAGGCAGCAGUAGGGAAUCUUCGGCAAUGGACGGAAGUCUGACCGAGCAACGCCGCGUGAGUGAAGAAGGUUUUCGGAUCGGAAAGCUAUGUUGUAAGAGAAGAACGAGGGUGAGAGUGGAAAGUUCACACUGUGACGGUAUAUUACCAGAAAGGGACGGCUAACUACGUG